GCUAGCAUCUAGAUGAAUCCAAUUUUUCUUGUGGUUAGUUUGCUUGUAUGAUAAGCAUUAGCCAAUUCCUACACUUGAUUUGAAUCUAAUUAAAUUUGAUUCAAUGGGCUCCAAUAGUUGGGUGUGAAGGGAAGAAAAACUGUAUCUAUUCGGAUAGCCCAGGUUGCAUCUAAAAUUUUUUUAUUAAUCUACAUGAAUAAGGAU
This 204-nucleotide long non-coding RNA is filed under the name Elaeis guineensis (African oil palm). RNAcentral's name for it is "long non-coding RNA (EGUI_LNC059657)". The record is from RNAcentral. Lineage: Eukaryota; Viridiplantae; Streptophyta; Magnoliopsida; Arecales; Arecaceae.